This 253-nucleotide ribosomal RNA is filed under the name uncultured bacterium. RNAcentral describes it as "partial 16S ribosomal RNA". It matches the Rfam family "Bacterial small subunit ribosomal RNA", at positions 524 to 776 of the family's 1533-position model. The record is from RNAcentral.
UACGUGUGGAGCAAGCGUUGUUCGGAAUUACUGGGCUUAAAGGGUGCGUAGGCGGUCUUGUAAGUCAGGGGUGAAAGUCAACGGCCCAACCGUUGAAUUGCCUUUGAUACUGCAGGACUUGAGUGUGCUAGGGGGAAGCGGAACGUUUGGUGUAGCGGUGAAAUGCGUAGAGAUCGGAAGGAACAUCAAUGGCGAAGGCAACAAUCUGGGGUUAAACUGACACUGAGGGACGAAAGUGUGGGGAGCAAACAGG